UACGAAGGGGGCUAGCGUUGCUCGGAAUCACUGGGCGUAAAGGGCGUGUAGGCGGGACAGUAAGUCGGGCGUGAAAUCCCUGGGCUCAACCCAGGAACUGCACUCGAAACUACUAUUCUUGAGUGUCGGAGAGGAAAGCGGAAUUCCUGGUGUAGAGGUGAAAUUCGUAGAUAUCAGGAGGAACACCAGUGGCGAAGGCGGCUUCUGGACGAUAACUGACGCUGAGACGCGAAAAGCGUGGGGAGCAAACAGG
RNAcentral lists this ribosomal RNA (253 nucleotides) under uncultured bacterium. RNAcentral describes it as "partial 16S ribosomal RNA". It matches the Rfam family "Bacterial small subunit ribosomal RNA", at positions 524 to 776 of the family's 1533-position model. The record is from RNAcentral.